UACGGAGGGUGCAAGCAUUAAUCGGAUUUAUUGGGCGUAAAGGGCGCGUAGGCGGCCGUGUAAGUCAGACGUGAAAUUCCGGGGCUCAACCCCGGAGCUGCAUUUGAAACUACACAGCUAGAGGGUAGAAGGAGAAAAUGGAAUUCCACAAGUAGCGGUGAAAUGCGUAGAUAUGUGGAAGAACACCAGUGGCGAAGGCGAUUUUCUAUUUUACACCUGACGCUAAAGCGCGAAAGCAAGGGGAUCAAACAGG
This 253-nucleotide ribosomal RNA is filed under the name uncultured bacterium. RNAcentral's name for it is "partial 16S ribosomal RNA". It matches the Rfam family "Bacterial small subunit ribosomal RNA", at positions 524 to 776 of the family's 1533-position model. The record is from RNAcentral.